GGCGGAGCUCUGAUUCAAAUUAAGUUCCAAAAUCAGAGAGAGAACCUGAAAAUGGAAACAGAGUGAACUCAUUCUUCAGAUUCAGAGAGGAUGAAAAUGGCGGGACCCGAAGAAGAAGAAGAACACGCAGGUCCUACUUAUUCUUCCACGAAAGCUGAGAGGAAAACUGCGACAAAGGGGUCAGAGAAGACAGACGACGCUUGCUUUGGAAAGUGAGAAUGAUGCCCGCUUCUUAAUUUCUCCAUCUCAAUUCAAAGGAUAUGAUCAAAUCUGCUUGCGGGAACAUAGUUUCAGAUGAACUGAAAAAAUUGGACUCCCCAUUGAAUGACAGCUUGAAGAUGUCAACUUUUGAUUCUGAUAUCAAUGACAUCUUAUGGGAAUAUGAUGGUCUUCAUGAUGCUUAUAAAGGCGAAUGUGAAGAAAUACUGUUAGAAAUGCAAAGGAUCUUCUAUGAGGACCUGAGGGCUGAAUCAACUAAAACAAGCUGCUUGCAGAACCAGACAAUAUGGAAACAUGGCAAGAUGAAGAAGAUGAAUACUUGGUUCAUACAGUCUAUGAGCAUAUGCAACUAGAUGAUAGCAGGCAUUCGAGUUGAGACUGGAGGCAAUCCUGUAGAGGAGCAUGCAUGAGCAUCUACAGUACUGUCCAGGUUGGGAGAUGUUGAUCGUCCGGGGUGAACUCGACGUCUCAGUUCAUUGCCGAAAGUUCAAGAAGCAUUUCUUUUCUUUUUUUUUUCUUCUCCAUCUUGUAUUACUUCUUUAUCUGACAUUAUAUUAAUUCCACAUUUAUUUGUAUAAUUCUCUGUAUACUGUACUGGACAUUUAGUUAUUGAUUAUGCACUGAUUUACUGUUAUUCAUUUGGAAUGCUGCAAAUUUGUGGAAUUAAAUUGUAGUAAUGUGGGAGGAAUAAGGGGAUGUUUAUAGAAGUAUGUUUUCAGUGCAGUCCAGUAGGGUUUCCCUGGGAUUAGGGCUUGUCUAGGGUUCCGGUGAGGAAUUUUAGACGGGUCCUGAUAGUGAGAUCCGGUUUAUCCGACGGUUUAUUAUUAUUACCACGGUUCCGUGAGGUUGGUAUCAUUCAAUGGUUUAUUAUUGUCACGGACCGCGAGGUUAGGUACAUUCUAACGGUUAUUUAUUAUUUCCACGACACCGUUUAUAUGUUGGGGGUCGUGAGGUGGGUGUAUCCCACAGUUUGUAUAUUGGUACAUCGUAUGGUACAUUGUAUAUGUUUGUAUAUAUUGUUAAUUUACAAAUAUUGUGAUGAUCUCUGCAUUUUCAUAUUUAUUUGGUGGAAUUAUAUUUAUUAUAUUUUGUGCUCAAAUGUUUAUAUCAUGAUUUGAGACAUUUCAUAAUAUUACAAUGAUCAUUCAUUCAUACUUUUGAGCAUCGAUUUUUAUGAUAUUAAUUGAGGUACAAGUUUGGGUUUCGUGAAAUGAUUUUUAAACGGGGGACUUUUCAAAAGAGUGGAACGAGAGGUCUUGAGAGGAAGAUUUUUCAGAAGUAAAUCAUUAUUUUUCUAUUAUACUACACUCAUUGAGAUUUCUUUAUCUCACAUUUUAUUGUUUUAAAUUAGUUCCCCUAGGCCCAGACAACUAGUAGCAGUCUACCUCGCGCAUAGCUUAUCGCUUGUUUCUUUCCACUGCAGCAGCCGUAUUUAUCCUUUCUUCACCUAUUGUUAUCUUCUAGACUUAUGUAUUACUUAUUUGUACUCAUAGACUUUGUUGACACUCUUAGAAUGCUCUGAUUUUAAUUAUGGGACUCAGUAGAGACCAUGGUACUCAUGUGUGUAGUUAAGGCCUGUAGUACAGUAGGUCAGUUAUGGACCUAUAUAUAUAUAUAUAUUGAGGUAUUAAUGUUAAUGCUGGCAUUUGAUUAUCUACGUUUUAAGGUAAGGUUCCAUUGGAUAUUCUCUAGAGAUUGUCCAGUGGGACUUCACUAGGCUGGACCACCCGGGAGGUCCUGAAAGGGUUCCCGGGGCAGGUCCUGUCAUUGAAGAUGUCAACUUUUGCCUCUCAUUGCAACAACAUCUUUUUGGAAUAUGAUGGUCUUCAUGAAAAUGGCGGGACACAAAGAGAACACGCAUGUCCUACUUCUUCUUCAACAAAAACUUCAAUCCAAACACGGCCUUUGGCUUUCUCUCAAACCCAAUCCUCUCUUCAAUGACCACCACAACUGCUGAGAGAAAACUGCUACAAAAGGGUCAGAGAAGACAGACGACGUUUCCUUUGGAAUGAUGCCUGCUUCUCAAUCUCUCCAUCUCAAUUCCGAGCUUUAGUAAGUGGACAGCUCGAGUAGUCAACGAUGAAAAUAUAACUGGUGCUAGCCUUAGUGAGGUAAAGAAUCUGACUAAGUUGACCCGCUUGAUAUUUAGAGAAGCCACAUGUCAAUAUGCUGCCUAAAGACUUGUUUAGUAGAAAGUCAGAAAGAUAUUACAUAUUUUUAGGAGGUGCCCGUGGAGACUUUAUUGAUGGUUCAACAGAAUUGGAACUCAACUUGGAAUUUGAUACAAGGCGUCUAUUAAAGGAGCAUGUUUUUUAAAUGCUGUCGAGAAGGCUUGCGGAAAUUUAAGUUUUCUACUGCUUCAAGAUGGAAGAGAUGGUUACAUUUGAAAGACAUGAUGUAAAUUCUGAAGCCGUGGAUAGAAUUGAGUUUCCUAAUCUUAAGUAUUUACUACUUGAAGAUCUACCACAACUUACUUGAUUCCGCUUGGAGAGUGACACAAGUGGUGCAGCUGAUCAAAGCGAAGAAAGUGAGGAGCAAUUAAUUAAUUAAUUUACUGGUUGCUUUUCGCUUAGAAGUCUUGGGUUUGAAAUCGCUACAAUUCAGAAGGAUAUGGGCAAGCCAACUUCUGCAAACAUGUUAGCUGCAAAGUUUAAGAGUUGACUGCUGGAGAGUGCCAUAGUUUAAAGUAUCUGUUAUCUUCUGCUAUUGCCAGAAGCCUUGUACAACUUGAGUUAUAUGUGUCUGACUGUGAGGUCAUAGAAGAGAUAAUAGUCAUAAAGCAACCAAAAGUCACCUUUGACAAUUCUGAUGAAUUAUAUAUAAUGAGUUUCCUAAACUAAAGCACGUAAGACUUGGAAAUCUACCCCAGCUUAUUCGAUUCUGCUCGCAGUCUCAAGGCCAAGGGAGUGAGCAGCUAUUGUUUGCAGAUUCUGCUUCCACAUUUUUCAACCAAAAUAUAUAUGUAUAUAUACAAUUUUGUAAAUGCUAGUAAUUUAUUUUCCUGCGUUUUUAUUAA
This is a long non-coding RNA of Ziziphus jujuba (common jujube), 3235 nucleotides long. RefSeq lists it as uncharacterized. The transcript has 9 exons. The record is from RefSeq and is a predicted model, not a curated record. Lineage: Eukaryota; Viridiplantae; Streptophyta; Magnoliopsida; Rosales; Rhamnaceae.